This 501-nucleotide long non-coding RNA is filed under the name Sorghum bicolor (sorghum). RNAcentral describes it as "long non-coding RNA (SBIC_LNC007740)". Lineage: Eukaryota; Viridiplantae; Streptophyta; Magnoliopsida; Poales; Poaceae. The record is from RNAcentral.
CAAGCGCAUGCGGAACGCAUCUUAAUUUUUUUAUAUGACUUGACUUUAUCAUCAGCAACUUGACAAACAGCCUCGCGCGGCGAGGGUUCUGAUGUCAUCAAGUUGCUGGUCUUCUCGUAAUAAUAGAUCAAAAGAAUCGACAACUCUUGGCAUAAUAUAAUAUUCAUAUAGAUCUAUUAACAACCUAGAUUGAUUGCUCACCCAUAAACGUGGCAACCGGCAUGGAUGACAUGGUUGAACUUGAAGAUGUUGUCGAGUUGAUGGACGUGAGCACGUUCGAUGUCGCUGCAGGGACCGGUGACUUGCUGGCGCGGGCUUGCUUCUCGGCGACCCGCUGCCUGCAGGCAGUAGCUUCAACUUGUAGAGACGAACGUGCAGCAACAGGAGAUGACCACAAUGCCGUCGGCGGACGUGCGUAUGGCAGCUGGGGCUUGGCGUGUAUUUUGGCAAGGGUUUGUCUGAAACCGAGAGCAGAAGCCCGGCGGCGUGUAUGCGUCAAAA